This is a non-coding RNA of Anas platyrhynchos (mallard), 14237 nucleotides long. The record is from RefSeq and is a predicted model, not a curated record. NCBI's taxonomy places the organism in Eukaryota, Metazoa, Chordata, Aves, Anseriformes, Anatidae.
CCUCGCUGCAGUUAGUAUUAAUUGUUUUUUCAGCUGGAGGACAAUUCCUCAAUGGUUGCUCGGCCUUCAUGCCAUAGGGUAUCUGCAGCAGCUCGUAAAUGAGCUAUGUGGCCGGGCGUUAAGUAGGAAGUUCACACACUCCUUUCCCAUGCUAUAGCCGUUCGUCGAACAGAGCCUUUCUGCAGAGUUGUCAAUCUGUCAUCUUCCCUUGGCUUCACAUUUUAUUGAAAAAAAAAAAAAAGGAAUUUGAAAAGUUACAGUAAGUUGAACAGUUUGUCAGACAUAACGUACUCGCAGGCUAUUGUCUGCAAAUUACAGGCUGGCUCGGUCUUUCAGCCUGUCAUGGAUGGAUCAUAAAGCUGUCAUAAGCAAAGCUCUUAACAAAAUCCAUUUGCACGGCUCCUGUUAUGGCAGAGCAUGGCGAGGAAGCAAUAGGACUAAUUUUUGAGGAAUUUCCUGUCCAGGAGCUUUUUAAUCCAGUUGGAAGUCUUUGCUGGUCACUCCCAGUAGAUGUUUUCCCUGAUUAUCCCUGGAUUCAUGUGACAAAACACACGCAAUUGUCACUUUCAUUCAGAAAGGGGUCACGGUUCACAUACUAGUCUGAGUGCAUAACUACUGGAUUUAAUCACUAGGAGGGAGAGGGUUACCUGAUAGGCCUUGGACUGCAGCUAAACCACGUGUAAAUCACCAGAAUUCGGGUGAUUAUCACCCAAAUCAAUGGCAAAAUAAAAAGCAGUGCAAACUCCAGUCUUGCAGAGGUUUAAUCUCAGACAAAAGUUAGUUGCUGUAAGUAAUCCCACUGAUGGCAGGUAAAACCCUGCGAAUGCUGAACUAUUUAGGAUCAGGGCUUAAACCCCUGGCAUUUCAUUCCUGUAUAAUUUCUUCUGAAAGGUUACAGAGCAGUGUUUGUAACUACAAAAGCAAUGUAAUAGGACACUUUUCCAACUAUUUUAUCUAUGGAUUCUGGGUUUGCUCUUUAUAUUUCCCCAGGUUUUGCUCUUCUAUUGAGUAGGUACGUAAGGGUGAAGGUGUUGCCUUCUCUGCUCCUCUUCUUCCUCUCCAGUUGAACAAGGAAAUUACUCUUAAAAAAUCUAGGAAGGACAGAAAAGCCCAAGAUCUGAAGAUGUUCUGAAACUUCCAGGGCCCAGAAGUUAAAGGACAUAAUUAGGAGGAGGACUCUCGGAGCAGUGCAUCAGUUCUCUAUCUGCAGUUCAUCUGUUUCACCCAUUUAGAAGUGACAGUUUGCAGCCCUAAUGCGAGAGUGUUUCUCAUUAUCUGUGCUCUGGAAAUGCACAGCGUCAUUACAAGUUUUGAAAGAUGCUUUCUUCAAAACUACAAAUGCAUUACACGGGUGAGUUUGCUCUCUGGUUAGUCAUACUGAGCUGCUGUGGUCUGCACCCGUUCUGGGGGUGGCACUAAAGACAAAGCCCCAAAAACUGAACCUCUGUGUCAAGUCCCAUGCACAUCACGGAUGGAAUGAUGCAGACACACAUCCUGUAACACGAUUUAGCCUUGCCUUUGUCCAGGGAAGAUAAUGGUUGUGAAGCUUUAUUGCUUUCCUUGUCUCACAGAUGGAUGUCAGGUUUGUUGGACUUUCUCCUGAAGAUUUUAGGGGAGGGGAAUGUGUUGGCUGCGCUGCUGACAGAUACCCUCAGGGGAACUGUCCACGCUCAUUGGAGAUUUCUCUCCUCUAUCUCCAGCCAUCUACGAAUUCAGUUUCGAGGCUCAGAUAGUUGUUCAGGUUGUCACUGUCGUAAAGGAAGAGAGAUACAGACUUCUGGAGGCGAUUAACCCGUAGGAACAGAUGUAAUUUCGUUUCUUGACAUGAUUUCCUGCCCCCGAAAAGAAGGAUUUUGAGACUACGUGGCUGUCCUCGGGAGACCGCAGAUGGGUUUGUCUUGGGUGAAGGUUGUAAUCAGCUUGAACAGAGCUGCCAGCAGCAGGCAGAGUGCGUGCAGGUAGGACACUGCAGAAGGAAACAACAAGUACAAUGCUUCACUCCUUGAAUUACGCUACAGCAGGGCAAAGCUUGAGGCUUUUUGUGCCUUGGAAGCGGUUCUAUCCUGUCCACGUUGUAAAACGGCUGUGUUUAAACCCUGUUAGAGCAGCAUCUUCUCUUGCACCACGAGACCAGUGUUAUUCACAGCCACAUGGGGUUUCCUGACAUCAGGAGACGCCGUGCUGCUGCUCUGGGCACUCUGUUCCUCUGCGAUGGACCUGCGGAGUGCGAGCACUCAGUGUUGACACGAUCCUGCAGAUGCCGUUCGGGUGUGUUUGUUCUGCCAGCUGAGCUGAGACGCCGAAGACAGGUUACAAAAAAUACAUCUGUUUGAAAAGAAAUUGUGGAGAACACACUCAAGUGGUAAGAGUUCCAGGAAAGUGCCUUGUGUCAGACUUCCUAGAAGCAGUGCUGCAACCAGGUGGUAAGUGCCAGUGCUGCGUAGUCCGUAAUUAACACGGUCCUUGCGCUGGGUUUGGGCACUCGCCUUCUCUCCAUGUUGCGAACACCACCUCGGUGGGAGCUGGCAGACAGGUGGGCUGCUUUUCAGGCCAUCCUUUGGAACAAAUUUUCAAUGUGCAGGGAUUAAUACAUAACUUCUGUCACACUCCAUUACUGCUGCUGCUGUUAAAAAUAGCGUGCUUUACCAUCUAGGAGACGUUUCACACAUCGUUUUGCUGUCACUAGAGGGAGUUUGCAGCAGUGCUUCUCUUACCGACUUCCUUGGUGAUCUCGGUGCUGUGGGCAGAGCUCAGCAGACGCCGUGCGUGAAUAGGAGACGGCAGGAAUGAAAGUAGGACAAAGGUCCUGCCUCCCUGCUUAAACCCUUGUACGCAAUGUCCGAGCUCGACUAACCAAAUUCUUCAGGGUGACAGAGCUGGAAGCAAUUCUCUCUGUUGGUAGCGCUGUAAUAGAAAACAAAUGAGCAUCCAGUGACUCAAGGCAGAGCCAAGGGUAAGAGUAAGAAAACAACAUCAAUUAUUUAAUAGGAAAAACAAAGAUGGAAAAAACCAACCUGGAUAGGUGCUCCUCUGUGGCAUUUCCGAUUUGUUGUUACAGGAACAUCAUCUCAGCUAGAAGCAAGCUCCCUCAGGAAGCUGGUUUCAUAUGGUGGUUUAGAUUUAACUAUUUAUUGUCUAGCACCAUUUGAAAUCAGUGUUCUUGGAGGAAGAAUGCCUGCGUUCGUCAGUGAAACAGCUCCUUGGAAACGUUGGUGGAAAAGAAAAGGUCAAAAUGUGCUUCUGCCAUUAGACUUAGCUCCACCACCAACCAAGUGACCUCAGGAGGCUGGGACCUUUGAGUUUAUGGCCGUGGGAGAGCAUCACAAGGGGCAGAAAUUCUGGUGUAAUACUGCUGGGCAGUAACAUGUUUACAGCACUUGUAGGUGGUGAACCAGAACUCGGAGACAGAGAAGGGCUUACGAGACAUAAACACUGCAAAAAAAAUGUAAUAUGGAAUUGCAACACAGCAUCAAGGCACUGAUGGUAAUGCACCCACACUUAAAUCACAUCUAACACCAGUGUCUGUGACAAUGGGACCACGCAGGCUGAGGCUACCCAAAAUCGAAGUAUUUGUGGUGUUUUAAUACUGGCUGUACAAUUUUAAACAAGCACGUAACUAAUGAUUUUGAAAGUUUCCACCUUCUAUAUAUUAUAACAAUACAACAUUUUUUUAUUGAAUAAUACCACAGAGGUAAUUAAUUAAUAUUCAUCAAGCAUUUGGGAAACCUCCAGUGUAAAAUACUAUCCGGUACUUAACUCUUCAUCCUUGCAGAUCUUGGUAACCCCUUUGGAGGAUGACUGAUUUCUUUUGGUGUUCAGAGUCAAUAAUAUUUUCUAGCACCAUUUGAAAUCGGUUAUAGUGAUUGGGGAAUUGCUCCUUGUGAAUUUUAUACGAGAGUCUCCAAAGAGAAUCUUCAAUGUUAUUACCUAGGACUGAAAAAAAAAAGGGAAGUGGUAUUUCGGUGAACAGAGUUACUGAAUGCAGAAGUAUUACAUAUUUAAGCUGUAGUGUUGUUUGGUGCCUUUAUAUAGCUGGAGAUUCUUGCUAGGAGAAAAUGCAGUUCACAGCUGUAGACAGAAGAUGUAAAAUAAGCAUCGUGAGGUUUUGGUGUAGGUCAUCAGUGCAAAGAUGCUUUGGCAAGAGGGAAGAUAAAGGCAGAUUGUUUUCCCAAUGGAAAUUACCAGUAUGGACUCAAGAUCAAGAAAAAAAAAAAAAGAGAAAAAAAAAAGAGAGAAAAAAAAAAAAAGAAAACACUUGGUUUAAUGAUCUAGCCAGGAGGUAUGACAAUACAAAAAAGCAGCAGGAACCCUUCCAAUCUCCAAUUACUGUACUCCGGACAUGCUGAAAGACAGAUCUUGGGAAGGAUUUCAUUGCUAACCUAAGAGCUUUUUGCCUUCUCUUCUCUUACACUGUUAACAGCAUAAGCCACAAAACUGAGUCAUCUUCCCAAGGACGCUGUAGUACCUAAGAAGUUUUCCCGAGAACUGCACUCUUCAGGGAAACACAACUGGCCAGAGAUGCGGAGUCCAAGUCUGGGUCGUGUCCCCGGUUGCAGCAGGAUCUCAUUAGCCGUGAAGAUAAUUUCUGAAACGCAUUCCUCAGCCAGAUUAUCAUCCUGCAUCUAGCUUUUGGGGAGGUAGUGACACAGACAGCAAUACAUGCCUCUAGCAGGGGAGCCUUUCCUAAAUGAACUGGUAAGAGCAGGAAUCUGCUGCCUUUCCCUGCUCUCUGGUAUGGAGAAAACUACAAAAUUGCUACAGACAGCAGACAACUGCAGCAGCUUUUGGGUAUUCAGAGACAUUCCUGAGCUGGCUGGGGGCAGCAGAUUCACCCUUCUCUUUCCCCUGCUCUGUCUUUCCAUCAGCAUAUCCUCCAUUUCAUCAGCAGCACAUCCUCUGUUUUUUCACUGUUUUUUUAUCCUCCCUUUUAUCCUCAGCAUAUCCUCCCUUUUAUUUCUGCUUGUUUAACUAAGGAGGGAUCAAGUCAUCACGAUCCGAAAGAGACUCGAGUGUGAAAAGUGCACGGCCUCUACGUCUCUCACUUGCAUCCUUCUGUGAAAUCCACCCGCGUGGUUUUUGUUUAAACCCUCAGAAGUGGGUAGGACUGUGUUCUGUUAGUCCUUGAGUUACCAUAAAGGGGUGAAAACGCUGAAAACUUGGAAUAUGGAGUAGUGUGUUUGUGGCACUGUGAUGCCAAGAGCUGACACCUGCCCACGGACGUGUUUGGGGGAGUUUGACAGAUGUUCUUAGAGAGGUUACAAGCUGUACAGAACGAAGCAUUGCUCUCCUGAAGUGUUCCUUACCAGUAAUCCGUGUGUUUGAAGUCUCUUUGCUGCUGAAGUAGCUCCCACCCAGACCUUUUUUUUGAGUGGUUGCUUGUGCAAAGUCCUUCAGCCUAUUUGGAGUUCAGCGGCUUCCCAAGUGAGAAAAACCAGAGCUGCUAAGUACUUGGAUCUCGUAAAGGCUUUUCUGACGUGAGUACCAUUGCUGGUGUGCCCGUGCCCUGUGGCUUCUCAGAUCCCUCCUGCAGCAGCAGGGGAAAGAAAGAAUGAAAAAAGGUGGGAAGGAAGGAGAAAACUGCUGCAUGAAAACAAAAUCCACUGUAAAAUACAUGCAUGAGGAAGGGAGGAGAAUUGUAUAAUGGGUUUCUUUCUUUUUUUCUUUUUUUUUUUUUUUGAUCCUAUUUACUCUCAGUACUCGGUCUUUUUAGAAGUGAAGCUACCAGAAGACAGUCGUCUUGUCAGGCAGCCAGAUUGAGAUGCAAAGCAGCGCUUAUGCAAAUUGCAUCCAAAGUGCUCCUCGGGUACCACGGCGUAUAACUUCAGCUGCUGGUGGGUCUGCUCAUCCUGCUGCCUGACACCCUGUAGCAGGUGUAAAGUGCAGGGAGGUUGCUUUGUGGUCUGCAAAGUGUCUCCAAUCGCUGACUGGUCUUUUGGAGCGGCGUUAAAAUGAAGUGAGAACUCGUACUAAGCCCAGACAGCUCUGGGAGUCAGCCACUGCUGUUGCCCCAGCAAUCAGGGAUUAGCAUAAAGGAUGCUUGAGGAUGGAGGAAGAUGGCUAGUGGGAGUAUUUUAACACAAAAUAUUUUAGGAAUGCCUUUUGAUGUACUGUUGUUGUAUUAUGGGGGCAUUAAAACACGUUACUACACGAUCAUAAAUUUAAUGUCAGAUUCAUUUAUCUCAGACUUCGGUGAUCCUCCAUCGUUACCUUCAGACACCUGGAUUUUGCAUAGGGGAGCUCUGCAAAGUCCAUCGUGUUUUUUAGGGGGGAAAUGUCUUGAUUCCAUUAAAUAAGAGCUUGGGAUGAUGCUGGAGAAGUGUUUUGUGUUCAUGGCAGAUAAAUUAUGGCUCAGGACCACAGUUUGUAGCAGCCUCGUCCUUACAUUAAUGAAACAUGCAGGCAUAAAAUGUUUGUAAAAGGGUGGAAUAGAAAAUAAGACAACACAGUGUUAUUCUGAUAUAUUGCUCCUAAGUCUUCCAAAGCUGUUUGAGACUUGAUAGCCAAAAAUAACCUGCAUGAGGGAUCUGUCGUGUUGGAUCUGCAGGGGUACAAGUGGAAUAGAUGCGGGUAGCAUGGGUUUUGCUGCAGGCUGUGUCCAGCUGGGAUGUUUGCUACAUACGGAACCAGGCUUAGGCUGAGAGCUUUCUGGUGCUGUAAAACACAGGAUUAGAGCUCCCAACUCAUAGAGUAUGCCAGGAGAGCAAAUUCACGUCUGGGUAAUGCUAAUAAAAACAAAAUUCAUUGAGUUGUGUCCGGAGAGGACAGCGAAGCAGCCUUUGGCUUCUGAUGUGACUCCUGCAUAGGUGAGAGCUCUUUUCACGUCCUUCAGGAUGGUUCUGCAGAGACUUGUCCUGCUGCUGGACACAGUUCAUGGAGGUGAUGGCUCCUGCUCUCCAGUGGUGCCCAUCAGAUGCUGAAGAUGCAUCUCCCAUUGAAAAGGUUCAGAGAUUUGAGUUUUCAGGCAUAAAACUCAGCUUUGUGCUCCUUUCUCGGCCACUGAGCAUUCUUAUGGACAGCAGGAGAGUUUUUAAUGGUCGCCCUGCACAAAAAGGAGAGGCAAGCCAUGGAAUUACAAGGAUUUGUAUUGAAGGUCAGCAUUCAGGUCUCACAUUGCAUGCUCGGUUGUUGCAGAGGCCAGAUUUGCUCAGGCCCAAAUGGGCAAAGCAAUUUUAAUAUUCAGGUUCUGCAUGUCCCCAUCCAGGUGCCAGUCAGUGCUGCCUGCUGGCUGUGCUCCUGGGGCAGCUCUGCAGCAGCCUGGUAGAUGCAGUGACUAAGCUCAUCACCUCCAAGGGACUCCAGAGCCCUUUUCCGUACUCGAUUUUGCCAUUAUUUAAUCUGCCCGUCCUUACUGUGGAAGAAACCUAGAGGAAUGGGGGUCUCCCAAAUGGUUUGUCAUUACCAGAAAUACCUUGGGCGGAGGGGAUUGCCUGCCCAAAGGAGCAGGCUCCAGGCAGAUCAGAGCCUGCCCAGAGCACAUCUGGGAGGCGAAAAUUUCUCAGGAAAUCCACGAAGAUGAUCUCAGGCUGCUGGGUUUUCAAAUAGGCUGCUGUGUGAAGGCUCUGCUGCAUUUCCAAGGUGAGAACCGAAGCCAGAGCUGAAGCGUUCGCUUCAGGGAAGAGAAAUUUCCUUGUUUCACUGCAAGGAAAUUUGCAGAUUUCAGAACUUGGAGAACUUCAGAGCAAAACGAUGGUGUAAAAGAAAAAAUAUAUAUAUAUUUAAGAUUUGCUUGGAAAGCCUGAGACGCUCAUGAAUAAUUGCUAACGCAGCCUUCCCACGGCCGCUCGGCAGCACCGCAGCACAACCGUGUUUGUCACCAUACCGAGAUGUUUUCUGGCAACCCUGGAAUUUCUGUGAUGUUUUUGUUCGUCGUGGAGCUGUCGCUUAUCUUUUAAUUUCCCAAAUGUAAACGGUUCUGAGGAAGCAGAUCUGCAAAAAGGACUUGAAGAAGAGUUGAAGAGCGAGGUGCGUGUGUGCUGCAUUGUGAGCGAAGCCAGCGCAUCGGUCGUAAGGAGCGGGGUGGGCAACCUGAGGGGUUUGGAGCCUGUCCUGUGUCGUGCCCUAAUGUCUAUUUUAAUACUCCUGAGUUUAGCAAGGAUUUCAAAAUCUGAAUCAAAUCCUCUUCUCAGUGUGCUCUGAGCAUGUGUUGCUGCUCAGAUCCAUUUUCUGGUAGCAGCAGCUGACACGAUCCUAUUUCACAUGGCGUAGGGAAGGCUUAAAUCCAAGCACAGCUCUUUCAACAUGAGAGAAAUUUUAAAAAAUGACCAGGUUCCAUGUGGUAUGGGACCUGCCAAGCUGUUCCUAAGAUGAGUUCCCAGAACCCCAGACUGGUUGUAGUGGGAAGGGACCUUUGGAGUCCCUCUGCUCCCACCCUGCUCCAGCAGGGCCACCCGGAGCUGCUGCCCAGGCCACAUCCAGGUGGCUUUUGGAGCUCUCCAAGGAGGGGACACCACAACCUCUGGGUACCCGUGCCAGAACUCCAGCACCCACCCAGCCCAGAAGUGCUUCUGGUGCUCAGAGGGCUCCUCCUUUUCCCUUUUCCUGGCCAAGGGCGCAGACGGAGGGACCCAUGCCUGCUGUGAGGGCAUCCUCAGCUCCUCUCUGUCUCCCCGAGGCAUCCUCCCAGCUGUGCGAUGCCUCCUCUGGCACGGGGAGCAGCAGGAGCCGCGUGGUUCGCCUCGACGCGAGAGGCCGUGGGUGGAGAGGAGCUGGCGGGGAUCCCAGGAGCCGUCGGGAAGAGGCUGCGAGCGGGGGAGAGCGAGCUCUCCACCCACUCGGGAUGAAAUCACGCCGGUAAAGGCUGCCGGGACGAAGAAGGUGUCAAGUCUAAAUAAAAAAAAAUACAAAAAAAAGAGGAAGGGCACUGGACCAGCGAGGAGGGCAGUUCCUGUGCUGGUGGGCUCAAGGAGGAUCUGGUUUUUGGAGGAGUGCACGGUGCUGGUAACGGAUACGGAGCAGGGAACAAGGGAAGAAUUUGUCACAGGAAGGUUGGCUUUAGCGCGGAAGGAAAAUAGAAGUUGGAUACGUGACCCGAUUGCUGGGGAUUUAAUAACGUGUCUGAUCUGGGGGGGUUGCUGCCACCCAAGCUGCUGCCCUCCCAGUCUGACCCGUGACUGGGAGCACGGGGAGGUAGAAAAGCCCCCCGGGAGCUGGCGUGCUUAAGGCAGCGUGAUGAUGGGCUUCUGGCAGAGAGGUUGCAUUGCCACUUCCCAAAAACUGUGCUGGUGCCAUACCCAAAAAUGAUGUUGGUGCCAGCUGGACACACUCACCAUCUCCACCAGAGUGGUGUCCAUGCCGUACAACCCAACAAGGGACAGCACCGUGGCUUUAGUUCUGUCCCAAAAUUAAAUACCAGCCAGCAUGAAGUCUUUUAGGAUUUUUUUUUUUCCCCAUACUGAUACCUAAUUUACAGUAAACCAAACCUGGGGAGUCGGGGGGGGGGGGGUCGGGAGCCCUUUGGCUCUCAGCAGGCGCAGCCGAGGACAUUGCCUUCAGGUCUGGCUGAGGGGAACGGGCUCCUCAGCACUGCUCCGUCUGCUCCAGCAAAGCAAAAAAAACAACGCGCAAAGCUCCUUCCCCACCGCCAGCGGGUGCAAAAUCGUAAUCAUUGCAGGAGAGAUGCUGCCAAAAAAAAAAAAAAAAAAAAAAAAAAAAAAAGAAAAAAAAGCAUUUCCCUAGCUCGCUCUCUUUUCCCAGAAAACCAGAUGGAUGAAUCAUUAUAACAGCAGCUAUGACAGGGGACCAGACAACAGACUGAGCCCGAAGCCCAGCCCGGUCGAGCCAAGAUGAAAAACUGCCCAAGGAUUUACCAGUCCUCCCCUCCCACGUGUGCUUAAAGGAGCGAGGCUCCACAAAUAGGGCAUCGUGCUCCUGGCUGCCUUGCAGCAUCCCUCCUGGUGGACCAGCAAGCCUGGCUAUCAUUUGGCACGCUCUGGGGCUAGGAGAGCAGUCCCGUGCCUAAAUCCUGUUGAAUGUUGCGAGCAAUGAGGCUGGAAAUCAUUGGAACAGGAGGAGAUGCCCACCUUGGGGCUGCCCACGGAGCAAUUGCUGCAAUGACGGCCUCGUCGGAGGCUCUGCUGUUAUUUCUGCUUCCCAAGGAAGCGGAGCGCAGAGAAAUGAAGGUCCCAAAAUCUCAUAAUUUGGGCUGCUGGGUUCGAGGCGGUCGGUGCAGGAUGUUGAGGACUCAAGGCGCGGAUUCCUCUUGUGCCGUUCGGUUUCCUCCCAGCCCCCUGCUUCGUUUAUCGCCCUCUUCCAACCUGUGCCUGUCGGGCGCUCUCAUUGCGAUCCUCAAAUCCUGAUGCUGCUCUUAGCUUUCGAGUGUUUUGAUCGCUGGCUGCAGAGCUCGAGCCGAGCCACGCUCCCGUCCUCCCCGAGGUAAACAAGGAGUCAGGGGAGGUCGCUGCAGGUCCUGCAGGAAAUAGCAGGGACCAGGAGAUCUCUUCACCUCCCCUGCCCUCUGCAACGUGCAAGGACCCCGUCGCAGGGUGAGGGCAAACCCAAAAAAAUGGCAUCUCGGCCCCAAAAUGCUGCUUUUGGUCUCCGCGGUGGAUUUGGCACUCGGGGCUCCGCAGCAGAGGCAGCUGGGGAGCUGCACCCCACGUCUGGAUAUACCCGCUGGGCUCGAGACCUUGUGCUUGAGGAUUCGUUUGGCUGCGUUUGUGAGCAUGCAGGGAAUUUACCACGAGCCCAGUUUGUCCAUGUGCAGUUUUAUGGGGUACCAGCCAUCCUCCAGCCCUCAAACCCCUGGUGCUUCGUGGCCGUGCAGCACCAGACCCCAAUGAGCUGUGUCCUGGAGGUGGCCUCACGCCUCUCACAAACCCCAGGUACCACCAGGAGCUUUCUUUUUGCCAAAGUUUGGUGCAGAAUUAAAAGCUGUGAGAUAUGCGGAGCAUGAUGAAAACUGAGCAGACAGCUGUAAAUUAGGGGGAAAAAACAACUUGACGGCUGUCACCACCACUACCAGGGAAGGAGAGGUGAUGGGGAGGUGGGUGGUGGGCCUUCAUCCCACCCCAUCAGGUCUUCGGAGGAUUUUUGUGGGCCAGGGGGGAAGGGGCCAACGCCGAGCUGCCUCUUGGUUUGGCACCGAGGGGAAAAGCCAAGUUAAUGCUGCAGCCUAGUGGAGAAAAGCCGGCCGUGCGCAUUGCCAGCAGGGCUAAUUCAGGCAGAGGGAUGUAAAAGGCUGGUGGAAAGCAAACCACGCCGAGAUACGGUGCUGGAGCUUGUUUUUAUGGGAUCCCGAGGGCGAAUUUUAUAACCUAGUCAGGUCUCCAAAAGGUGUUUUGCUGUGCCCGGAGUGAUGCCCCAGUGAAAAGGCUGCGGACAUCACCGUGACCCAUAUCAAAGCCAGCACAGCACAAAUCUCUGAAAACAGUGCUAAGUUUCUGGCAAUACCCCCAUGGGGGCAGCUCUGUGCUCCCAGAAGGAACCAAAAUUGCAUCAGAGCACGUUUACGGGGUGAAAUGGUGAAAAAAAAGUUCCUGCUAUGUGUGAUGUGGAUGCCCGGUGCGUGCAGCCAGGUCUAGGGCACAGCAAAUAUCGGCUGGAAAAUCAGAAGGAUUUCAAAGAAGAGCCCCAGGAGUGAGGCAGGGCUGGAGAAGCACCCCUGGGAGGGGUAAACCCAAGCUCAGAGUGUUAACCAAGCCAGGAGAGUCGAUCUCUCACCACCAACACCGAGUCCCGUGUCUAGGUCCCUCUGGGGACACCAGUCCUGGCUUUGGAGCUUUGUGGUGGGUGUCCCGGAGAGCACCCAUGGGCCAAACCCAUCACUGAUUUCACCCCCUCGCAGGCUCCUCUGGAUGUACUGGGGUCCAUUCCCGAGCAGGAUGGCCCAGGGACCCAGGAGACCUUGUGCCUGCCGUGACAUGUCUGGAUUUCAUCCCUGAUUUUAUCCCUCUCAAACCCAAGACGAACACCAGGGGGAGAAUAAAAACAGAGAGGGCUACUGGUGUGUAAAUAGGUGCAGAUGGGUCAUGAAAAACAGGCAGCGUUGCACGGAGAAGGUAGGGGGGGAGGAUGGAGGAGGAGUGUGGCCAGGAGGAGAAUCAGGAGGAGGAGAGAGACGGCACUGGGGUCGAGGAGAAACACGCAGCUGCGAGGAGCCCGACAGCUGGAAGCCAAAAAUAAACCUCGACGGUGAAUCAAUUUGCUCCGAGGGACGGGUAAAUCGGGGGGAAAGCAACGACCGAGGGCAGAGGACGGAGCACCCAAUGGGCUGAACGAGCAGGAAAACCCACAGAGCAAUGAAUCACCCCCCCCCCCCGAAAAGCCCCUCUUCCCGAAACAAGGCGGGGGUGAGGCAGAAAACAGCAGAGACAGAAACAAUCAAUUACGUGGCCGAGGGAAGUUGACUCCUGCUGGAUAAAUACGCCAGCUGAGCAAAAGGCAGGGAGAAGAUCCGAGUGUCAGAUAAAUCCCCACCAGGGCACGGCCCUACAGGCACGGUGGUGAGGAUGCAGGAGGGGCAGAGAUGCUCCUUCCAGUGGAAUUUGGCCCACGGCUGGGAUUUUGCUCAAUAACCUUGGAGAGAGGCAGAAAUUGGAGAGAAAUUGCAUUCAAAGCUUGAGGAGCAGCUUGAUUUUAAGGAGCAGCUCCUUUUGAACGAACACAGAAGUGAUGGGGAGAGCCUAGAAAAAGCGUGGAGAGAAAGAGGGGUUUCUUUAGGAAAAUGUUUUGUACGCAAUAGCUUUUGGGGUGAAAAAUUUAUAGAGAGGAAUUUGAGGGAUUGCAUCUUGCAGAAAACUUGGUAGGGAGGUGUUUGCUAGUAGGACCUCACUGCUGUCAGCCACCCUAGGAGAAGUCCUACCUAAGAACCCCAAAAAAAGCAAUGACCCAUGAUUUGGAAAUGAAUUUUGGGUGUUUUACCAAAAUUAGAGGGAAUUGGGGAAAGCCUCCUCCCACCUCCACGAUGCAGCUGUGAGGACUGUGAGCAUAAAUGGCCCAGGGACUCUUGGGGUGGAGAUGCCAUGUGUGAGGGGGGUCCCACCAGUUGUCCCCUGCUCGGCUCCUCUCCAAACCAGUGUUUCCCAGUUUGACCUCUCCAAGGGACAUGGGUGUCCCAACACUGAGUGAACAGAGGGCAUAGGCAGAGAACCAAAUCCCAUUGAUGGGAACCCAAAACCCAACUCUGCCCAGAUGCUGAGCUCUGCACAUCCACGUGGGGAAGGAGAUGCUUCCACCCAAUCCCUUGGUGCACUCAGAGAGGGCCCCAACCCCAAGGGUUUGAUCCACAGACCGUAGGGCUUCCCUCGGAUGGAGAUGGAGAAGAUGAGCCACGAACUCUGCUGAUGUGAGGCCACCUUGUCACUAGAGGGAAGCAGAACCAUGUGCACGGAGCUGCUGCGGCACUGCUGCUCCAGCGAUGGAGCCAGCGAGCAGAAGCACCUGCCCAGAGCUCCUGUGGUGGAGAAGGAGAGGACACCUUCAUGGGGUCACUGAACGCUUCAGGUUGGGAGCACCUCAAAGCCCACCCAGUUCCAACCACUUGCCAUGGACAAGGACACCUCCCAGCAGACCGGGUUGUCCCAAAGCCUCAUCCACCUGCUGCACCUCAGGGGCACAUCUGGGUCCUCAUAUCCCAUCCCUGGUGCUGAGCUGGCAUUAGCUUUGGGGGCUGAAGAGGGGUUCGAGGACCCUUGAAAGUUGAAGGUUCAAGGACCCAUGGUCAAUGGGGUUGACUGGGGUCUUCAGGCACUGCCAGCUCUGCAGAGGAGAUGCCCGAUGUUCUCAAGGACAAGCCUUCACCAGAGCUUGGCCAACCCUCCAUGGCCCUCUUGGGAUGGGUGAGCAGUGUCACUGGGUGUGUAAGGACAUGGGGCUGGAUCAGGGGAGGAGUUGGGGUGGUGGGAAGGAGCCAGGGACCCCAAUUACCCUUGGUGAGAUGGUGUUUGUGGUGCUGCUGGUCAAUGCACCCAGCUCACAGCUCCUCCUCCACGGAGGACACCAAGCCCUGGAGCCACUUCUCUUGGGCCUGGAGAUGCUCUUCUCUGGAAAUAAAACAGUGCCCUGGGGUUCUGGGGCAGGUGGGAUGGCAGCAGAAGACACGAGAUGGCAGCUGAUCAGAAAUGACAUCUCAGAUAACGAAGCAGCUUUCUUCCUCUGGUUUUGGCACCCAGGGGCAAGAUCCAUCCAAGGGCAUCCACGCGGGGAACCACAGGCAAAUUCCUUCCCGUGCGCCACACCAGUACUGUUGGGUUAAGCAUUGUACUGAUAAAAAAAUAAAUUUUGUUGUGCUGUUAAAUAGA